Molecule: ribosomal RNA, 804 nt
Filed under: uncultured bacterium
Lineage: Bacteria
Description: bacterial SSU rRNA
Rfam family: Bacterial small subunit ribosomal RNA
Source: RNAcentral
ACGCCUAACACAUGCAAGUCGAACGCAGUAGCAAUACUGAGUGGCAAACGGGUGAGUAUAAUGUGGGAAUCUGCCUUUUGGUUCGGAAUAACACGAGGAAACUUGUGCUAAUACCGGAUAAGCCCUUACGGGGAAAGUUUUAAUGCCAAAAGAUGAGCCCGCACUUGAUUAGCUAGUUGGUAAGGUAAUGGCUUACCAAGGCAACGAUCAAUAGCUGUUCUUAGAGGAAGACCAGCCACAUUGGGACUGAGACACGGCCCAAACUCCUACGGGAGGCAGCAGUGGGGAAUCUUGCACAAUGGGGGAAACCCUGAUGCAGCGAUGCCGCGUGAGUGAAGAAGGCCCUUGGGUUGUAAAACUCUUUCGUCGGGGAAGAAAAUGACUGUACCCGAAUAAGAAGGUCCGGCUAACUUCGUGCCAGCAGCCGCGGUAAUACGAAGGGACCUAGCGUAGUUCGGAAUUACUGGGCUUAAAGAGUUCGUAGGUGGUUAAAAAAGUUGAUGGUGAAAUCCCAAGGCUCAACCUUGGAACUGCCAUCAAAACUUUUUAGCUAGAGUGUGAUAGAGGAAAGUGGAAUUUCUAGUGUAGAGGUGAAAUUCGUAGAUAUUAGAAAGAACAUCAAAAGCGAAGGCAACUUUCUGGAUCAUUACUGACACUGAGGAACGAAAGCAUGGGUAGCGAAGAGGAUUAGAUACCCUCGUAGUCCAUGCCGUAAACGAUGUGUGCUAGACGUUGGAAACUUAGUUUUCAGUGUCGCAGCGAAAGCAUUAAGCACACCGCCUGGGGAGUACGACCGCAAGGUUA